CCAGCAGCCGCGGUAAUUCCAGCUCCAAUAGCGUAUAUUAAAGUUGUUGCAGUUAAAAAGCUCGUAGUUGGAUUUCUGCUAGUGUAUGAUGUCCCUUACGGUUCGUUCAUGCACAAGCAUACUUGGGCGGAAUUUGCAUGGCAUUAGGUUGUCGCGCAGGGGAGGCCGAUCGUUUACUGUGAAAAAAUUAGAGUGUUCAAAGCAGGCUUAGGCCAUUGAAUAUAUUAGCAUGGAAUAAUAAGAUAGGACUUUGGUACUAUUUUGUUGGUUUGCGCGCUGGGGUAAUGAUUAACAGGGACAGUUGGGGGUAUUCGUAUUCCAUUGUCAGAGGUGAAAUUCUUGGA
This 344-nucleotide ribosomal RNA is filed under the name uncultured eukaryote. RNAcentral describes it as "SSU rRNA". It matches the Rfam family "Eukaryotic small subunit ribosomal RNA", at positions 567 to 924 of the family's 1831-position model. The record is from RNAcentral.